AAUCCCCUGAACCACCAAAGAAAAUCAAAAUCUCUCACGAAGUGGAUAUCUUCUUUUCCAAAUAUCUGAGGAAGCCUAUAUUCCAAGAAUACACUCUUUUUGUUGACAUAGAGGGUUUUCCUGUAAGCUAUGAGAAUUACUUAAAUUCAUUUAAAGCGAGGGGUGAGAUUGGAGAUGAAGUGAUGAACUCAUUUAUUCAAGUUCUUAACUAUGAAUCAAAGAUGUCAUCUGAAGUAAAGCCUUACGUGAAGAAGUACUGUUUCACUUCGUACUUCACUAAUAAAUUGUUGGUUCCACCUGAGUUAUUUGAUCCAGUUUCAUGCAUACGAGAAUUUGACAGGAUUAAUUCAGAAGAAAGCCUUUGGAAGCAAGACUUGG
This is a non-coding RNA of Triticum urartu, 378 nucleotides long. NCBI's taxonomy places the organism in Eukaryota, Viridiplantae, Streptophyta, Magnoliopsida, Poales, Poaceae. The record is from RefSeq and is a predicted model, not a curated record.